UACGUAGGGUGCAAGCGUUGUCCGGAUUUAUUGGGUUUAAAGGGUGCGUAGGCGGCUUAUUAAGUCAGUGUUUAAAUUUUGCGGCUUAACCGUAAGUAUGGCAUUGAUACUGAUUAGCUUGAGUACAUGAGAGGCAGGCGGAAUUGAUAGUGUAGCGGUGAAAUGCAUAGAUAUUAUCAAGAACUCCGAUAGCGAAGGCAGCUUGCUGUCAUGUAACUGACGCUGAGGCACGAAAGUGUGGGGAUCAAACAGG
RNAcentral lists this ribosomal RNA (253 nucleotides) under uncultured bacterium. RNAcentral's name for it is "partial 16S ribosomal RNA". It matches the Rfam family "Bacterial small subunit ribosomal RNA", at positions 524 to 776 of the family's 1533-position model. The record is from RNAcentral.